UACGGGGGGAGCAAGCGUUGUUCGGAAUUACUGGGCGUAAAGGGCGCGUAGGCGGUCAGGUAAGUGAAAUGUGAAAUCCUCCGGCUCACCCGGAGAAAUGCAUUUCAUACUGCCUGACUAGAGUGCGGAAGAGGAAUCGGGAAUUCCAGGUGUAGCGGUGAAAUGCGUAGAUAUCUGGAGGAACACCGGUGGCGAAGGCGCGAUUCUGGUCCGUUACUGACGCUGAGGCGCGAAAGCCAGGGGAGCAAACGGGAUUAGAUACCCCGGUAGUCCUGGCCGUAAACGGUGAACACUAGGUGUGGGGAGUAUCGACCCUCUCCGUGCCGCAGCCAACGCAUUAAGUGUUCCGCCUGGGGAGUACGGUCGCAAGGCUGAA
This 376-nucleotide ribosomal RNA is filed under the name uncultured bacterium. RNAcentral's name for it is "bacterial SSU rRNA". It matches the Rfam family "Bacterial small subunit ribosomal RNA", at positions 524 to 898 of the family's 1533-position model. The record is from RNAcentral.